RNAcentral lists this ribosomal RNA (1470 nucleotides) under uncultured Bordetella sp. RNAcentral describes it as "partial 16S-23S ribosomal RNA intergenic spacer". It matches the Rfam family "Bacterial small subunit ribosomal RNA". Lineage: Bacteria; Pseudomonadati; Pseudomonadota; Betaproteobacteria; Burkholderiales; Alcaligenaceae. The record is from RNAcentral.
GGUUUGAUCCUGGCUCAGAUUGAACGCUGGCGGGAUGCUUUACCCAUGCAAGUCGAACGGCAGCACGGACUUCGGUCUGGUGGCGAGUGGCGAACGGGUGAGUAAUGUAUCGGAACGUGCCUAGUAGCGGGGGAUAACUACGCGAAAGCGUAGCUAAUACCGCAUACGCCCUCGGGGGAAAGCGGGGACCUUCGGGCCUCGCACCAUUAGAGCGGGCCGAUAUCGGAUUAGCUAGUUGGUGGGGUAAACGGCUCACCAGCGCGACGAUCCGUAGCUGGUUUGAGAGGACGACCAGCCACACUGGGACCGGAGACACGGCCCAGACUCCUACGGGAGGCAGCAGUGGGGAAUUUGGACAAUGGGGGAAACUCCUGAUCCAGCCAUCCUGGCGUGCGAUGAAGGCCUCGGGUUGUAAAGCAUUUUUGGCAGGAAAGAAACGGCACGGGAUAAUACCCCGUGCAACUGACGGUACCUGCAGAAUAAGCACCGGCUAACUACGUGCCAGCAGCCGCGGUAAUACGUAGGGCAAGCGUUAAUCGAAAUUACUGGGCGCAGCGUGCGCAGGCGGUUCGAAAGAAAGAUGUGAAAUCCCAGGAGCUUAACUUUGGAACUGCAUUUUUAACUACCGAGCUAGAGUGUGUCAGGAGGGAGGAAUUCCUGCGUGUAGCAGUGAAAUGCGUAGAUAUGCGGAGGAACACCGGAUGGCGAAGGUGUGCUCCCUGGGAUAAACACUGGACGCUUUUCCGCGUACUGAAAGCGUGGGGAGCAAACAGGAUUAGAUACCCUGGUAGUCCACGCCCCCAACGAUGUCAACUAGCCGUUGGGGCUCUUCGGGCCUUGGUAGCGCAGCUAACGCAAGUUGACCGCCUGGGGAGUACGGUCGCAAGAUUAAAACUCAAAGGAAUUGACGGGGAUCCGCACAAGCGGUGGAUGAUGUGGAUUAAUCUGAGAACGUGAAAAACCUUACCUACUCACAUAUCUAAACCCGAAGAGAUUGGGGGCGUCUGCAAGAGAACGAAUACGCAGCAAAUGCAUGGCUGUCGACCGUCAGGCGAGAUGCUCAUAUCUGGCAACGAGCAUGCAAACCCGUCAGUUAAUGCUGCUGAAAGGCACCUCCAAUGAACAGCGGUGACAAACCGGAGGAAGGUGGGGAUGACGUCAAGUCCUCAUGGCCCUUAGCGGUAGGGCUUCACACGUCAUACAAUGGUCGGGACAGAGGGUCGCCAACCCGCGAGGGGGAGCCAACCCAGAAACCCGAUCAGUCCGGAUCGCAGUCUGCAACUCGACUGCGUGAAGCUGGAAUCAAGUAGUAAUCGCGGAUCAGCAUGUCGCGGUGAAUACGUUCCCGGGUCUUGUACACACCGCCCGUCACACCAUGGGAGUGGGUUUACCAGAAGUAGUUAGCCUAACCGUAAGGAGGGCGAUUACCACGGUAGGAUUCAUGACUGGGGUGAAGUCGUAACAAGGUAG